UACGAAGGGGGCUAGCGUUGUUCGGAAUCACUGGGCGUAAAGCGCACGUAGGCGGAUUUUUAAGUCAGGGGUGAAAUCCCGGGGCUCAACCUCGGAACUGCCUUUGAUACUGGAGAUCUUGAGUCCGGAAGAGGUAAGUGGAACUGCGAGUGUAGAGGUGAAAUUCGUAGAUAUUCGCAAGAACACCAGUGGCGAAGGCGGCUUACUGGUCCGGAACUGACGCUCAUGCACGACAGCGUGGGGAUCAAACAGG
RNAcentral lists this ribosomal RNA (253 nucleotides) under uncultured bacterium. RNAcentral's name for it is "partial 16S ribosomal RNA". It matches the Rfam family "Bacterial small subunit ribosomal RNA", at positions 524 to 776 of the family's 1533-position model. The record is from RNAcentral.